UACGUAGGCAGCGAGCGUUGUUCGGAGUUACUGGGCGUAAAGGGUGUGUAGGCGGUUGUUUAAGUUUGGUGUGAAAUCUCCCGGCUCAACUGGGAGGGUGCGCCGAAUACUGAAUGACUAGAGUGCGGGAGAGGUGAGUGGAAUUCCUGGUGUAGCGGUGAAAUGCGUAGAUAUCAGGAGGAACACCUGUGGCGAAAGCGGCUCACUGGACCAUAACUGACGCUGAUGCACGAAAGCUAGGGGAGCAAACAGG
RNAcentral lists this ribosomal RNA (253 nucleotides) under uncultured bacterium. RNAcentral's name for it is "partial 16S ribosomal RNA". It matches the Rfam family "Bacterial small subunit ribosomal RNA", at positions 524 to 776 of the family's 1533-position model. The record is from RNAcentral.